CUUCACGACUGACGGCGGUGAGCAGCGGAGAACUGGCCGAUGCUGUCGCGUCCGACCCGGUGCUGGUCAAGCUGUCUGAGCAGCUCACCCGAAGUUGGUCAAGUCGCAUAGGUGAGGUCCCACCUGAAUUGAAGCCAUUCUUCCGAUGUCGUGAUGAGUUAAGUCUGAUGGGUGGCCUCAUUUUCAAGGGAGAGCGGGUGGUAGUACCAGAGUGUCUGAGGGAGAGAUUGGUGGCCCUGGCACAUGAGAGCCACCCGGGGAUCAUACGUACCAAGCAGCGCCUGCGGGCAGUGUACUGGUGGCCAGGUCUUGAUGCUGCUGUAGAGACGGCCGUGAAGGAGUGUGAUGCAUGCGCCCUGUCUGACAAAACGGUGAAGUCACGCAGAGCACCGCUGAUGCCAGUCCCGUUCCCGGAUGUUGCCUGGGACAAGCUGGGCAUCGACUUCAUCGGCCCGAUGCAAGGACCGCUGCAUCAAAGCAGGGUCAGGAGCGGUGGAGCGGAUGAACCGGAGCAUCAAGGCGGCCCUGCAGAUGGCGGACUUGGAGGGCGUCGACCGACGAAGGUACAUGCAGACGUUUCUGCAGAACUACAGGGCAACACCUCAUGCUACUACCGGUCGCCGACAGAUCGUGCAACAGACGGGCCCGGCUUCGUACCGCCUGGACGACGGCACCAGAAUCCACGCUGAGCGGCUCUCCAGGUGGACACCGUCGAUGGAGCCGUCAGAGACGGAGGCGGGCGGUGCGCCUCGCGGGAUCGGCGGGGGCACUGAGACACUGUGUCCGGCGGAUCGCGACGUCCGCCGUCGAGUGCCGUCGCGGGCACCAUCUCUGAGUCGAGGUGACUGUAUUUCGUGUCAUGGGACUGAUUCUGACUCGAGUGAGGAAGUGGACCCGUCAGAUGAACCCCUAGAGCGUGCGUCGCCGUUAUCACCUCCAGCGUCCACUGCAGUGCAACGGCAGUCGCCAACCGUCGGGGGCGACGGAGUGUCACGCUUUACGCGAUCAGGUCGUCGUUAUUAUUGUGAGGGGCAAAUGUAGUGUUGUGCGUAGUAUUGUGUGACGCGCUAGCGUCGUAGUUCGGUCUAAGCCUGACGGCUCACGACGUACUGUACGUUAUGACGCAGCCCCGCCCGCGUGACUGGGCGGCGCUGACCGUUGACGGGUCGUGCGGCGCCGGCGGCGCUCAGUCUGACACCGGCCACGAGAGCAGAGGAGCGGCUGCCGAGGCUGGUAGACGCCGAGCCAGCUCACUGGGCUGGAGUCUGUUAUGUAACGUUAUCGCCGUUUGUUCUUAUUUUAAUAUCAUGGUGGUGGCUAAACAGUGAGUUUGAAGGACGUGGAACUGGACGGAAGCACACGGGAGGACUCGACACU
This is a long non-coding RNA of Amphibalanus amphitrite, 1377 nucleotides long. RefSeq lists it as uncharacterized. NCBI's taxonomy places the organism in Eukaryota, Metazoa, Arthropoda, Thecostraca, Balanomorpha, Balanidae. The transcript is spliced from 3 exons. The record is from RefSeq and is a predicted model, not a curated record.